RNAcentral lists this small RNA (2060 nucleotides) under Pan troglodytes (chimpanzee). RNAcentral describes it as "retained intron". Lineage: Eukaryota; Metazoa; Chordata; Mammalia; Primates; Hominidae. The record is from RNAcentral.
GGACCUGAGAAAGAUUAAGCUGCAGGCUCCCUGCCCAUAAAACAGGGUGUGAAAGGCAUCUCAGCGGCUGCCCCACCAUGGCUACCUGGGCCCUCCUGCUCCUUGCAGCCACGCUCCUGGGCAACCCAGGUAAGGCCUUCCCCUCGGGAUCGAUCCUGAUGGCCCACCCAGCCUCGCACUCUCAGGCCGGCUGAACCUGGAGCAUGGACUCUGUGGGCACCCAGGUGCCCCUGCCUCCCCCCGGCCUUCUCCCCCGUCAUGGAGGCCUGGCCUUCCCCUCAGAGCCAGGCUUAGCCCAGUGUGCUGCCCAGCCUGUCACUGGCCUGGCCAACGUGGAGAGACAGGCCAGGGAUUCUGGUCCUAACUCUACUGGCCACGCUGUGUGGCCUGAGACCCCCCUUUCCCUCCCAAGCCCCUGCCUCCGCAUCUGCGUGGUGAAGGCCAUUGGCCCUCAUCAGUGGAUCUGCGUUUCCUCGGGCCUACACUGUCUAGGAUUGUGCAGGGCUGGUGAGAGAACAAGAUCUCUUCCGUGUUCAAGGCAGACUUCCCGCCCCCCGCACUCUGCUCUCUCCCAGGCCUUGGGGUCAGUGUGAGCCCCAAGGGCAAGAACACUUCUGGAAGGGAGAGUGGAUUUGGCUGGGCCAUCUGGAUGGAAGGUAAAAAAAGAAAAUCCCUUGAAAGGAGAUUGAGGGAAGUUUCUAGACAAACCGACCCCCAAAUCUGUGUUGCUGGGGGAACAGAGGAGAAGAGAGAGUCUCGCCCUCCUGGCUUUCUAGAAGGAACGUGAGAACACGUGUUUGUGCUGAGAGUGGGUCAGAGCGGCUCCAGGGCAAAGCAUGUGGACAGGUAUCCUGGCCCCCUGCAAGGCCCAGCUCCUGUCCUAGGCCCUGGUCACCUCCUGGACUCCCACCAGCCAGGAGAACGGGCUUUCCCUCUCCUUCCGCCUGCGGAGGGGAAGCUGAAGUCUGGUCUUCCUCAGGUCUGGUCUUCUCUCGUCUGAGCCCUGAGUACUACGACCUGGCAAGAGCCCACCUGCGUGAUGAGGAGAAAUCCUGCCCGUGCCUGGCCCAGGAGGGCCCCCAGGGUGACCUGUUGACCAAAACACAGGAGCUGGGCCGUAACUACAGGACCUGUCUGAUGAUAAUCCAAAGACUGAAGGAUAUGGUGGAGGAUCAGCCCACCCAGCAUCCUGGCACUGCAGGCUCACACUUAGCCCUGGAUACUCAGAUUCAUCCUCCUCCCCUGGGAUGGCAUAGAAGAGACUUUAAAACCAAAUGAGUCAAGACUCCAAGCUCUGACCACACCUCCCACCCCCACCAGUCUUCUCUAUGCACCCCCUCUAUCUGGAGCCCCCAGCCAGGUCCUGGACCCAGGUAGCUACAUGGCAGAGCAUUUAAUGUGUGCCUGGCAGCCAUGGGCACCAUUCUCCACACAGAAGGCAGGGGACAGGUGCACAAGGGGCUGAGACCCCAGCAGGGCUAACUGUCCUUGUCUCAGGAGCCCUACCUGGCCAGUCUUGGGCCAGGCCUUGGGGACUGGGAGUAGGGGCUGAGCCCCGUCUCUACAGUCUCUGGCCCCAUGGGCACCAGGUGCCAGCUCCUCGCACCCAGUACUCCCAUUGCUAGGGCUGCUGGAACCUGCAGGGUGGCAGAGCUGGGCAGGACUCACCCUAUAACCAUGUCCACUGUGGUGCUGCUGCUGCAGAGAAGUGUGUCCAAUGCUGCGACCCGGAUGUGUAGGACGGGGAGGUCACAAUGGCGCGACGUCUGCAGAAAUUUCAUGAGGAGGUAUCAGUCUAGAGUUACCCAGGGCCUCGUGGCCGGAGAAACUGCCCAGCAGAUCUGUGAGGACCUCAGGUUGUGUAUACCUUCUACAGGUCCCCUCUGAGCCCUCUCACCUUGUCCUGUGGAAGAAGCACAGGCUCCUGUCCUCAGAUCCCGGGAACCUCAGCAACCUCUGCCGGCUCCUCGCUUCCUCGAUCCAGAAUCCACUCUCCAGUCUCCCUCCCCUGACUCCCUCUGCUGUCCUCCCCUCUCAGGAGAAUAAAGUGUCAAGCAAGA